RNAcentral lists this ribosomal RNA (440 nucleotides) under uncultured bacterium. RNAcentral describes it as "partial 16S ribosomal RNA". It matches the Rfam family "Bacterial small subunit ribosomal RNA", at positions 338 to 795 of the family's 1533-position model. The record is from RNAcentral.
CCUACGGGUGGCAGCAGUGGGGAAUAUUGCACAAUGGGGGCAACUCUGAUGCAGCGACGCCGCGUGAGUGAUGAAGUAAUUCGGUAUGUAAAGCUCUAUCAGCAGGGACGAAAAUGACGGUACUUGAGUAAGAAGCCCCGGCUAACUACGUGCCAGCAGCCGCGGGAAUACGUAGGGGGCAAGCGUUAUCCGGAUUUACUGGGUGUAAAGGGAGCGUAGACGGCAGUGCAAGUCUGGAGUGAAAGGCGGGGGCUCAACCCCCGGACUGCUCUGGAAACUGUACGGCUGGAGUGCAGGAGAGGUAAGUGGAAUUCCUAGUGUAGCGGUGAAAUGCGUAGAUAUUAGGAAGAACACCAGUGGCGAAGGCGGCUUACUGGACUGUAACUGACGUUGAGGCUCGAAAGCGUGGGGAGCAAACAGGAUUAGAUACCCGAGUAGUC